UUGAAGCUCGUACACGUUUGCCAUGUGUACUAAGAGCCGGUCACUGAUAUAUCAAGUGAAAGGAAGUGAUAAAAACCAUAGUCUAUGCAGAUCUGUUUUUGUCUCUUAUGCAUUCAUGCAAAUUUGAUUAAUUUACAGUUUAUAGCUAUUCCAACAGUUCCUUCCAUGUUAACUGAAAGGAAGUGACAAACCAUAGUCUAUGCAAAUUUUCUUUUCUUCACUUGUGUAUUCGUCCGAAUUUGGUUUGACUUCUAAAGUUUAUAGCUAAUCUACACCAUUAGACGUUGAGUGCUUUAUGCUAGUUCCCUAUGAGUUAUGCUCAAUCGUUGUUAUUAGGUUUCUUGAUUAAAAUCAAGGAGUUUUAUUUCCUUAUCAAUGUAAGUACAUGUGUAGCUAUAAUCUUGGGCCUUGGAUUAAAUGUUGUGUUUUGUCUUUUGAACAGGUUUCAUUUGAUUUGACAGAGUAUUUGGAACAGCAUCCAGGAGCAUCUAACUGGGAGAUUGGGAUCUCUAGUUUUAGAAAAAAUGCCUUGUUUCAAGAUUACCAUGGACUCAAAACUUUCAGACAGGAGCUGACUCUCAUAUGAAUAGCUCAGUGCAUUCCCAACCAACAUCAAGGAGCUCAAUGCUCAUAAGCAAUCCAACGAGGCAAGAAGCUGGCUGGGAGCAUCAUCAAGGAAAAACUGGCAGCAUGUGUCAACCGAGUGCUAGGUAUGUCCCUAAAAGAUGUCGUUAGAUGCCUUUAAAUUACCUUCAGCUUUAUAUAUUCAUGGGUCUAAUCACUACAAGAAAUGCUGGAAUUACCGGCAUUUUUUAAAGUCUCAAAAU
This is a long non-coding RNA of Magnolia sinica, 827 nucleotides long. RefSeq lists it as uncharacterized. NCBI's taxonomy places the organism in Eukaryota, Viridiplantae, Streptophyta, Magnoliopsida, Magnoliales, Magnoliaceae. The record is from RefSeq and is a predicted model, not a curated record. The transcript has 3 exons.